UACGGAGGGGGUUAGCGUUGUUCGGAAUUACUGGGCGUAAAGCGCGCGUAGGCGGACCAGAAAGUUGGGGGUGAAAUCCCGGGGCUCAACCCCGGAGCGGCCUCCAAAACUCCUGGUCUUGAGUUCGAGAGAGGUGAGUGGAAUUCCGAGUGUAGAGGUGAAAUUCGUAGAUAUUCGGAGGAACACCAGUGGCGAAGGCGGCUCACUGGCUCGAUACUGACGCUGAGGUGCGAAAGUGUGGGGAGCAAACAGC
This 253-nucleotide ribosomal RNA is filed under the name uncultured bacterium. RNAcentral's name for it is "partial 16S ribosomal RNA". It matches the Rfam family "Bacterial small subunit ribosomal RNA", at positions 524 to 776 of the family's 1533-position model. The record is from RNAcentral.